This 468-nucleotide ribosomal RNA is filed under the name uncultured bacterium. RNAcentral's name for it is "partial 16S ribosomal RNA". It matches the Rfam family "Bacterial small subunit ribosomal RNA", at positions 28 to 507 of the family's 1533-position model. The record is from RNAcentral.
GACGAACGCUGGCGGCGCGCCUAACACAUGCAAGUCGAACGGAGCUGAGAGAAGCUUGCUUUUCUUAGCUUAGUGGCGAACGGGUGAGUAACGCGUGAGUAACCUGCCCUGGAGUGGGGGACACCAGUUGGAAACGACUGCUAAUACCGCAUAAGCCCACGAUCCGGCAUCGGAUUGAGGGAAAAGGAUUUAUUCUCUUCAGGAUGGACUGGCGUCCAAUUAGCUAGUUGGUGAGGUAACGGCCCACCAAGGCGACGAUUGGUAGCCGGACUGAGAGGUUGAACGGACACAUUGGGACUGAGACACGGCCCAGACUCCUACGGGAGGCAGCAGUGGGGGAUAUUGCACAAUGGGGGAAACCCUGAUGCAGCGACGACGCGUGGAGGAAGAAGGUUUUCGGAUUGUAAAGUCAUGUCGUUAGGGACGAUAAUGACGGUACCUAACAAGAAAGCACCGGCUAACUACGUG